CUACGGGUGGCUCCAGUGAGGAAUAUUGCACAAUGGGGGAAACCCUGAUGCAGCAACGCCGCGUGGAGGAUGACGCAUUUCGGUGUGUAAACUCCUUUUAUGAGUCAAGAAAAUGACGGUAGCUCAUGAAUAAGCACCGGCUAACUCCGUGCCAGCAGCCGCGGUAAUACGGAGGGUGCAAGCGUUACUCGGAAUCACUGGGCGUAAAGGACGCGUAGGCGGGAUGUCAAGUCAGGUGUGAAAUCCUAUGGCUCAACCAUAGAACUGCACUUGAAACUGGCAACCUAGAGUAUGGGAGGGGGAGAUGGAAUUAGCGGUGUAGGGGUAAAAUCCGUAGAUAUCACUAGGAAUACCGAAAGCGAAGGCGAUCUCCUGGAACAUUACUGACGCUAAGGCGUGAAAGCGUGGGGAACAAACAGGAUUAGAUACCCUAGUAGUC
RNAcentral lists this ribosomal RNA (439 nucleotides) under uncultured bacterium. RNAcentral's name for it is "partial 16S ribosomal RNA". It matches the Rfam family "Bacterial small subunit ribosomal RNA", at positions 339 to 795 of the family's 1533-position model. The record is from RNAcentral.